CUGGCCUUGACUGCAGCUCCAUCCCCAGCUCGGCAUUCGGAUCCAUAGCCUGGGUCGUGGAAGCUACUCCUUCGGUGACAAUCCCCCUCCUUCUAAAUGUGGUGGAGCUGACAUUGUGAUCUGGGGAGGCAGGUGGCCCUCUUCGUCUGCAUUUUUCCCCCUCCAGAGGUUGCCUAGGAGGUUUGUGUAAUUGCCUUGUGCUC
This 203-nucleotide long non-coding RNA is filed under the name Sus scrofa (pig). RNAcentral describes it as "lncRNA (ENSSSCG00070010341.1)". Lineage: Eukaryota; Metazoa; Chordata; Mammalia; Artiodactyla; Suidae. The record is from RNAcentral.